Molecule: ribosomal RNA, 460 nt
Filed under: uncultured bacterium
Lineage: Bacteria
Description: partial 16S ribosomal RNA
Rfam family: Bacterial small subunit ribosomal RNA
Source: RNAcentral
CCUACGGGUGGCUGCAGUGAGGAAUAUUGGUCAAUGGGCGCAAGCCUGAACCAGCCAAGUAGCGUGCAGGAUGACUGCCCUAUGGGUUGUAAACUGCUUUUAUACAGGAAUAAAGUGAGGCACGUGUGCCUUUUUGCAUGUACUUUAUGAAUAAGGACCGGCUAACUCCGUGCCAGCAGCCGCGGUAAUACGGAGGAUCCGAGCGUUAUCCGGAUUUAUUGGGUUUAAAGGGAGCGUAGAUGGGUUGUUAAGUCAGUUGUGAAAUUUUGCGGCUCAACCGUAAAAUUGCAAUUGAUACUGGCAGUCUUGAGUACAGUGGAGGUAGGCGGAAUUCGUGGUGUAGCGGUGAAAUGCUUAGAUAUCACGAAGAACUCCGAUUGCGAAGGCAGCUUACUAAACUGUCACUGACGUUGAUGCUCGAAAGUGUGGGUAUCAAACAGGAUUAGAUACCCCAGUAGUC